This 506-nucleotide ribosomal RNA is filed under the name uncultured bacterium. RNAcentral's name for it is "bacterial SSU rRNA". It matches the Rfam family "Bacterial small subunit ribosomal RNA", at positions 28 to 507 of the family's 1533-position model. The record is from RNAcentral.
GAUGAACGCUAGCGACAGGCCUAACACAUGCAAGUCGAGGGGCAUCGGGGUGUAGCAAUACGCUGCCGGCGACCGGCGGAUGGGUGAGUAACGCGUAUGCAACCUGCCUUCAGCAGGGGGAUAGCCCGUUGAAAGACGGAUUAAUACCCCGUAACACAGGGGCUCCGCAUGGAGAUUAUUGUUAAAGGGAUGCUUCCUUCGGGGAGUAUUCCGGCUGAAGAUGGGCAUGCGUUCCAUUAGGUAGUUGGUUGAGGUAACGGCUCACCAAGCCUGCGAUGGAUAGGGGAACUGAAAGGUUGGUCCCCCACACUGGUACUGAGACACGGACCAGACUCCUACGGGAGGCAGCAGUGAGGAAUCUUGGUCAAUGGACGGAAGUCUGAACCAGCCAUGUCGCGUGAAGGAGGACGGCCCUAAGGGUUGUAAACUUCUUUGCAGGGGAAUAAAGUAUUCCACGAGAUGGGAUAUUGCAAGUACGCUGCGAAUAAGGAUCGGCUAACUCCGUG